This 73-nucleotide transfer RNA is filed under the name Camelus bactrianus (Bactrian camel). It matches the Rfam family "tRNA". From Rfam's summary of the family: Transfer RNA (tRNA) molecules are approximately 80 nucleotides in length. Their secondary structure includes four short double-helical elements and three loops (D, anti-codon, and T loops). Lineage: Eukaryota; Metazoa; Chordata; Mammalia; Artiodactyla; Camelidae. The record is from Rfam by way of RNAcentral. RNAcentral also lists the same sequence under 1 other name.
GAGGGUAUAGCUCAAGCAGUAGAGUGCAUGCUUAGCAUGCACAAGGUCCUGGGUUCAAUUCUCAGUACCUCCU